CAAACGUCAAUAUAUUUGAGAAAUUAAUUAUUUUGUGGGAUCUAUUUGAUUAUGAUUGUGAUUGUAUAAGUUUGGUCCUUAUAAUUGGAUAAGAGUCCUUGUUAUUGUUGUAUAAGAUUAUUGUUUAUGAUUAUAUGAAAUUUGGUGAAGAAGUGUUAAAAUCAUGGUCGUUUAAUACAUGUAAUGAAACUCACUUUAAACUACAAAUUUAAUGGUUGAUUUGACACUAGUUGCCACUUUAAACCAUGUGCAUUCGCGUGUUGAGAUAUCUUUUGUCAACUACCACACAGGGAAAGGUUUACUUGCUUGAGUGUAAUACAAAGAACUCUGUUCCUUAUUUGGUUUAAACAUGCAAAUUGCUCAGGUGAACCCCACAUUUGUAGAAUGUCAUUUGAAGAAUGGUUUAAGAAUUUAAGAGCUGCAAUGCUGUUGGUCUGUUAGGAUCGGGUGGUUAAUCCCAACAAAUAUGUUUGGAGUGGUAUAAAAUGAAAUGUUUGGAGUGAUGCGUCACUUAGUAGCUUACUCACCGGCUCGAGGACACGGGGGUAUUGAGGCCCUUGUUUUGCUCUCCAGUUUGGGGAAGGCCGACGGAUAGGCGCUCAAAUUUGUGUAUUGCCGGCCUGAUGCCGAUGAAUUUUGAAGACGCCCGUUUGGCAAUGGGUUUGCCGAGUUCGGGGGGCUACUAAGUCACUUACCUCAAAAGCCAGAUUUAUUAUGGCUUUUUUGGUUGGAACGGGGACACGCUUUUUCACCUGAAUGUUCCAUCGAUGAGCUACCGGGAGCGCCGCGCCGACGACCAGGAUCCUGUGGACUUGACGUCACCCACUGGAGGCCGUCGACACCCGUAACCCGAUGUCUCUGUUCGUGUCCGUGCCGGUAUUCUUAAGUUGGUGGUGGGGAUUUAUAUUGUAAUUAAAUGUCAAUUGUAAAUAUUGUAAUUUAUUUUGAUUAAGUUAGUUGGUUGUAUUAAAUUUCUUUAUUUCCAUACAAUUGG
Molecule: long non-coding RNA, 994 nt
Organism: Patiria miniata (bat star)
Lineage: Eukaryota; Metazoa; Echinodermata; Asteroidea; Valvatida; Asterinidae
Exons: 2
Source: RefSeq, a predicted model, not a curated record